Pteropus vampyrus (large flying fox) is the source of this 109-nucleotide non-coding RNA. The record is from Rfam. Lineage: Eukaryota; Metazoa; Chordata; Mammalia; Chiroptera; Pteropodidae.
GUCCCUUGGCUCCAUCUUGCCUGGAUAUGACGUCCCCGGACUGAAAACCGCCUCACAUUCUUCCCUGGCCGACGGGCUGUGUCGGGGGGCUGGGCUGUGCGCGCUGUGG